This 3007-nucleotide ribosomal RNA is filed under the name Salmonella enterica subsp. enterica serovar Typhimurium. RNAcentral's name for it is "23S ribosomal RNA". It matches the Rfam family "Bacterial large subunit ribosomal RNA". The record is from RNAcentral. Lineage: Bacteria; Pseudomonadati; Pseudomonadota; Gammaproteobacteria; Enterobacterales; Enterobacteriaceae. RNAcentral also lists the same sequence under 2 other names.
GGUUAAGCGACUAAGCGUACACGGUGGAUGCCCUGGCAGUCAGAGGCGAUGAAGGGCGUGCUAAUCUGCGAUAAGCGCCGGUAAGGUGAUAUGAACCGUUAUAACCGGCGAUACCCGAAUGGGGAAACCCAGUGUGACUCGUCACACUAUCAUUAACUGAAUCCAUAGGUUAAUGAGGCGAACCGGGGGAACUGAAACAUCUAAGUACCCCGAGGAAAAGAAAUCAACCGAGAUUCCCCCAGUAGCGGCGAGCGAACGGGGAGGAGCCCAGAGCCUGAAUCAGCAUGUGUGUUAGUGGAAGCGUCUGGAAAGGCGCGCGAUACAGGGUGACAGCCCCGUACACAAAAGCGCAUGUGCUGUGAGCUCGAUGAGUAGGGCGGGACACGUGGUAUCCUGUCUGAAUAUGGGGGGACCAUCCUCCAAGGCUAAAUACUCCUGACUGACCGAUAGUGAACCAGUACCGUGAGGGAAAGGCGAAAAGAACCCCGGCGAGGGGAGUGAAAAAGAACCUGAAACCGUGUACGUACAAGCAGUGGGAGCCCCACCACUAAGCCAGUGGUGAACUCCACAUCCGCAUCCUUUGCUGAGGAUACGGUUAACGGAGCGAAAGCGACGUUCAACCGCAAAACAAGCAGAGGGGGCUUAGUGGUGGGGUGACUGCGUACCUUUUGUAUAAUGGGUCAGCGACUUAUAUUCUGUAGCAAGGUUAACCGAAUAGGGGAGCCGGAGGGAAACCGAGUCUUAAUUGGGCGUUAAGUUGCAGGGUAUAGACCCGAAACCCGGUGAUCUAGCCAUGGGCAGGUUGAAGGUUGGGUAACACUAACUGGAGGACCGAACCGACUAAUGUUGAAAAAUUAGCGGAUGACCUGUGGCUGGGGGUGAAAGGCCAAUCAAACCGGGAGAUAGCUGGUUCUCCCCGAAAGCUAUUUAGGUAGCGCCUCGUGAAUUCAUCUCCGGGGGUAGAGCACUGUUUCGGCUAGGGGGCCAUCCCGGCUUACCAACCCGAUGCAAACUGCGAAUACCGGAGAAUGUUAUCACGGGAGACACACGGCGGGUGCUAACGUCCGUCGUGAAGAGGGAAACAACCCAGACCGCCAGCUAAGGUCCCAAAGUCAUGGUUAAGUGGGAAACGAUGUGGGAAGGCCCAGACAGCCAGGAUGUUGGCUUAGAAGCAGCCAUCAUUUAAAGAAAGCGUAAUAGCUCACUGGUCGAGUCGGCCUGCGCGGAAGAUGUAACGGGGCUAAACCAUGCACCGAAGCUGCGGCAGCGACGCUGAUGCGUUGUUGGGUAGGGGAGCGUUCUGUAAGCCUGCGAAGGUGACCUGUGAGGGUUGCUGGAGGUAUCAGAAGUGCGAAUGCUGACAUAAGUAACGAUAAAGCGGGUGAAAAGCCCGCUCGCCGGAAGACCAAGGGUUCCUGUCCAACGUUAAUCGGGGCAGGGUGAGUCGACCCCUAAGGCGAGGCCGAAAGGCGUAGUUGAUGGGAAACGGGUUAAUAUUCCCGUACUUGGUGUUACUGCGAAGGGGGGACGGAGAAGGCUAUGUUGGCCGGGCGACGGUUGUCCCGGUUUAAGCGUGUAGGUGUGUGUUCCAGGUAAAUCCGGUUCACUUUAACACUGAGGCGUGAUGACGAGGCACUACGGUGCUGAAGCAACAAAUGCCCUGCUUCCAGGAAAAGCCUCUAAGCAUCAGGUAACAUCAAAUCGUACCCCAAACCGACACAGGUGGUCAGGUAGAGAAUACCAAGGCGCUUGAGAGAACUCGGGUGAAGGAACUAGGCAAAAUGGUGCCGUAACUUCGGGAGAAGGCACGCUGACACGUAGGUGAAGUGAUUUACUCAUGGAGCUGAAGUCAGUCGAAGAUACCAGCUGGCUGCAACUGUUUAUUAAAAACACAGCACUGUGCAAACACGAAAGUGGACGUAUACGGUGUGACGCCUGCCCGGUGCCGGAAGGUUAAUUGAUGGGGUCAGCGCAAGCGAAGCUCCUGAUCGAAGCCCCGGUAAACGGCGGCCGUAACUAUAACGGUCCUAAGGUAGCGAAAUUCCUUGUCGGGUAAGUUCCGACCUGCACGAAUGGCGUAAUGAUGGCCAGGCUGUCUCCACCCGAGACUCAGUGAAAUUGAACUCGCUGUGAAGAUGCAGUGUACCCGCGGCAAGACGGAAAGACCCCGUGAACCUUUACUAUAGCUUGACACUGAACAUUGAGCCUUGAUGUGUAGGAUAGGUGGGAGGCUUUGAAGUGUGGACGCCAGUCUGCAUGGAGCCGACCUUGAAAUACCACCCUUUAAUGUUUGAUGUUCUAACGUGGACCCGUAAUCCGGGUUGCGGACAGUGUCUGGUGGGUAGUUUGACUGGGGCGGUCUCCUCCUAAAGAGUAACGGAGGAGCACGAAGGUUGGCUAAUCCUGGUCGGACAUCAGGAGGUUAGUGCAAUGGCAUAAGCCAGCUUGACUGCGAGCGUGACGGCGCGAGCAGGUGCGAAAGCAGGUCAUAGUGAUCCGGUGGUUCUGAAUGGAAGGGCCAUCGCUCAACGGAUAAAAGGUACUCCGGGGAUAACAGGCUGAUACCGCCCAAGAGUUCAUAUCGACGGCGGUGUUUGGCACCUCGAUGUCGGCUCAUCACAUCCUGGGGCUGAAGUAGGUCCCAAGGGUAUGGCUGUUCGCCAUUUAAAGUGGUACGCGAGCUGGGUUUAGAACGUCGUGAGACAGUUCGGUCCCUAUCUGCCGUGGGCGCUGGAGAACUGAGGGGGGCUGCUCCUAGUACGAGAGGACCGGAGUGGACGCAUCACUGGUGUUCGGGUUGUCAUGCCAAUGGCACUGCCCGGUAGCUAAAUGCGGAAGAGAUAAGUGCUGAAAGCAUCUAAGCACGAAACUUGCCCCGAGAUGAGUUCUCCCUGAGACUUUAGGUCUCCUGAAGGAACGUUGAAGACGACGACGUUGAUAGGCCGGGUGUGUAAGCGCAGCGAUGCGUUGAGCUAACCGGUACUAAUGAACCGUGAGGCUUAACCUU